Molecule: ribosomal RNA, 468 nt
Filed under: uncultured bacterium
Lineage: Bacteria
Description: partial 16S ribosomal RNA
Rfam family: Bacterial small subunit ribosomal RNA
Source: RNAcentral
GAUGAACGCUGGCGGCGUGCUUAACACAUGCAAGUCGAACGGAAAGGCCCAAGCUUGCUUGGGUACUCGAGUGGCGAACGGGUGAGUAACACGUGGGUGAUCUGCCCUGCACUUCGGGAUAAGCCUGGGAAACUGGGUCUAAUACUGGAUAGGACCACUUCUUGGAUGGUGUGGUGGAAAGUUUUUUCGGUGUGGGAUGAGCUCGCGGCCUAUCAGCUUGUUGGUGGGGUAAUGGCCUACCAAGGCGUCGACGGGUAGCCGGCCUGAGAGGGUGUACGGCCACAUUGGGACUGAGGUACGGCCCAGACUCCUACGGGAGGCAGCAGUGGGGAAUAUUGCACAAUGGGCGCAAGCCUGAUGCAGCGACGCCGCGUGGGGGAUGACGGCCUUCGGGUUGUAAACUCCUUUCGCUAGGGACGAAGCGUUUUUGUGACGGUACCUGGAGAAGAAGCACCGGCUAACUACGUG